ACGGGCGCUUGGCACUCUUGCGAUGUCCUACAGAGAAGUCGCGGGGUGGUGCCAGAGGGUCUGU
This is a non-coding RNA of Ornithorhynchus anatinus (platypus), 64 nucleotides long. Lineage: Eukaryota; Metazoa; Chordata; Mammalia; Monotremata; Ornithorhynchidae. The record is from Rfam.